Sphaerodactylus townsendi is the source of this 1143-nucleotide long non-coding RNA. RefSeq lists it as uncharacterized. The transcript has 3 exons. NCBI's taxonomy places the organism in Eukaryota, Metazoa, Chordata, Lepidosauria, Squamata, Sphaerodactylidae. The record is from RefSeq and is a predicted model, not a curated record.
AGCUGAAGCAUGGAGAGUUGAGUGGGAGGUGGAAGUGCUUUGAGCUGAUAAAACAAAUACUUUGUUCUAGCAGCUUCAAGGACAGACCUUGGUUUGACAGAGAUAAUUAAUGAAAUUCAUAAAUACUGCAAUGGCUGGAGAUAAUUUUCCCUAAAAUGUUUAUAAAUUAAAGAAUUAGUGACUACUUUAAAUUAUAUAACCAAAUUAACAGGGGAGGGGGACAGAGAAACCAGAAACUUGUAAUUAAAGGUUGUAGCAACACAGAUUGAUUAUAUAGUGUGUAGAAUUGAGAAGUUACACAAUUACAUUGAUAAAUAGGAUGGGCAAAGCAACAAGAGACAAUAACAGUUGACAAUGACUUCAGAAAGACUCUAAGCUUUAAAAAUCUAGAUGGCAAGUUAACUAAAUUGGAUGACUGGUUGAAUAAAAUGGAAAAUGUUAUUUCAGGUAUGAAAAAAGAAAUAAUACAAAUGAAGAAGAUGUAAGAAAUAUAGCAGAAAUGGCAUCAGACAUAAAGAAAAUUACAAAUAAUAAAGCAGAGGUGAUAAACAAACUAGAAAUGCUAGAAAAGGACACUGAGAAGAUGGCAGAUCAACUGGCAAUUUUAGAAUUGUGUCAGAAAGAACAUAUAUUUUAUUUUUGUGGAGUAAAGGGGAAGGCAAUAACACCAGAGAAAAGAUGGUGGCAAUUCUAGCAGAGUACAUGGAAUUGGAUGAAGAUAUAUUGAAUUUAGAGGUGGACAGAGCAUUCUCCUGGAGGCGUAAGGCAUCUCUAUGGGUUGUUCCUUUCCCUUGCUUAGGAGGCAGGGCUUUACUGGUUUUUUCUUCCACUUCCUCUUCACUCGCUCACUCCCCCCCUUCAACUGCCAGUAACGUUCCUGCCUCUUGAUAGGAGAGCACAACUUCUUCUUUGCUCCCUGUGUGAAUGGUGUGUGAGUGACUGGUUGUUUGUGUGUUGCCCACUCCUCGUGUGGUUUUGCUUCCCCCGUGUGUGUGUCGAUGUAGAAAGGGGCGUUGCUUCUCGCUGGGCAGCGCGCUGAGGCGAUUGUGAGGAGAAAGAGUUGUGGGCGCCAUUUUAACGUUAAGGUGCUGCCAGGAGAAAGGGGCGUUUGGCGCGAUCCGCGGAAUGGCCACCAGAGAGUUU